Lutra lutra (Eurasian river otter) is the source of this 652-nucleotide long non-coding RNA. RefSeq lists it as uncharacterized. Lineage: Eukaryota; Metazoa; Chordata; Mammalia; Carnivora; Mustelidae. The transcript is spliced from 3 exons. The record is from RefSeq and is a predicted model, not a curated record.
GACAGAUUGCAACUGAUAAGUUGUUAGAAUGCGCUAGGAGGAACGCUCAGCCUGUAUCAUUGGCCUGCAGCGAGGGUGGAGAGAGAAAAUGGUGCAAAUAAUAAAGAUAAUCAUCUAUACCAGGAAAAUUACCACAUGUUUAUUUCAGGCCCCAGGCCCCUAGUGUCAUGACCUGAGCCAAAGGCAGCAGACUUUUGAACCGACUGAGCCACCCAGGCGCCCUGAGAGAGGAAUUUUUCAAAGAGAAGUGGAAUACCAAGCCAUCCAAAAGGCUGCAGCAAAGCGAUGGGGGCCAGGAGAGGCCCCAUUUUUUGGAGGAGCAGAAAACCAAGAGGGGAGAAGGCAUGCUGUAAUAUUAAAGAAACAAGGAAGGUAACACCAAUGAGCAGGUAGCUGGUCUUUGAAAUUCCUUAAAGAAGAGAUUGAACGUCUUAUGUCACAUGACUGCUCUGCAUUCUGCUGGCAACCGAGCUGGAAAAAUAAUGGAAGGACAGACACACUCAUAGAGGCAAACAAAGGUGGGAAUGUCCCAGCUACAAAACAGAACAGAUGAUCAAGCAGCCAGGGAAGAGCCAAGAUGAGAUGGCAUUCUUCUUAACAAACAACCACGGCCCCGCCCCCCAGCCCCAAACUCAUUAGUAGCUCAAUAGUC